UCUAAUAUGACAGAAUAGUGUGAUGAAUUUAAAUUUCAUUAAUAAAAUUAUUAUAAUUUUUUUUAGAA
Molecule: transfer RNA, 68 nt
Filed under: Ettchellsia sinica
Lineage: Eukaryota; Metazoa; Arthropoda; Insecta; Hymenoptera; Megalyridae
Description: tRNA-Leu
Source: RNAcentral